UUUACGUAUUAUUAAUUGGUAUUAUUACGAAAAUAAACUUGACAGCUAAAAAACGGCUAAUUUCUAUUAUGUUAUGUAUAGAUAUAUAAUUAAUAGUGUUUCUAAUUUUUGAAAACAUUCAUUAAGUGCCGCCAUACUUAGUUCCUCAUUUUUUUUGAUACGUGAUAUUUUUGAAACACCUUUACAUAUUGAAAAGUGGUCAAUGAAACUUAUAAAAUAAUGUUUAUUGAGAGAUGUGUCAUCACCGACGCUGUCAUAGGGAUGGCUUUGAACAAAAGUUAAAGAUGUGUCUGAUGUUGAUGUCUUCUCAUAUUAUCCUUUCUGAAAAAAUGUUUGCUGUAAACUGUUUAAUUUGUGUUUAUGAACAGACUGCUCAUGACGUUCCAGAUCUUUCAGAAAACUGAAAGUCUUACCGCAAACACAGAAUAAGUGAUUCAUAUUUGAUGAGUUGACGAUUGAAAAUGAAAAGGCUUCAAGGUAAUGAUUUAACAGACAAACGAAAAUUAAGUCCGGGGAAGAAUGAUUUUUUGGUUUUAUUAAGUAUACUUUAGCAAACCUCAGCAAUUUCAUACCACAGUAUCUCCUACCCCUGAAGCUGAUCAUUUUUGUAAGACAAUUUCGUGUUAUGACCAUUCUUUGACGUCCAUUGGAAUUUAAAAUUAUUUUACGUGACUUUUGUUAAAACCUCAAGGACAAACGAAAAAAAGCUAAUGCUAGACUUUAUAUCUUCCGCCCUCUACUUAAGUCUAAACUUCAACUAAACACAAAAAUGUUGAUUUACAAAACUAUUAUAAGACUAUUAUAAUAUAACCUAUUAUUUCUGACUUCGGCACCACUGGUAUCAGUAAAGAUUAUUUAAUGAAUUCUACUUUCAUUUAAAUUACUAAAUAACAAUUUUAUACUACAUUUAAUUGCUAUAAUAAAUAUUUAUUUUUAUAUUAUACUUUUAAAUUUAAGAACUACUAAUCAAGAUAUAAAUAAGGAAAUAGGAGAUCAUGUUUCUUUUGGAAUAAUUCACCAUUUUUUAAAAUUAAACACCAUUUACAUAUUUACAUCGAAGCAACCUUAGUAUAUUUUUUAAAUCCAAGAAAAUCAUUUUGCCUCAAUCGUCAACUUUUCGCACUGCCCUUUAUUUUAACACGCUUAUAUUAGUUUCACUUGUAUGUUGUGGGUUGUGUGUUUGUUUGUAAAUCUCCACCAGCCACGUGUUAUUAUACUUCCGUACCCCGUCGUCUAUGGACUUAAGACUAGACGUCGUUCACCCCACCCUGAUCACCACUCGCCGUAACAAUAUUUUCCUAUAAAAUUUUAUUUUUGGUUUUCGUACCCGUGACUGACCAAUACCGCCCUCGUCUAAUGCGCCUUACGUAUAUAUAUUUAUAUAUUCCUACCGCCGCUGAAACCAUUUAUACCUUAGGUAUAACGUUCCCCCCCCACAAAACAAGGCUAUACCUAGUGCAUGAUACGUUUACGUACUUAAGUCGCUUUACUUGUAUAUAUAUAUAUUCUAAUUACUAUUGAAUUUAAAACUAAAAUUUACAUAUUAACAUGCUUUAUUCUAAUUAAGAGAUAUAAGUAUUCAUUCCGAUUACGAGGGAUGAUUUCCGUAUCGUCAUUUUUCGUCACUACGUCCACGUUCAGGGAGUGAGUAAUUUGCGCGCCUGCUGCUUUCCUUGGAUGUGGUAGCCGUUUAUCAAUCUCCUUCCCCGGGAUUGAACCCAGAUUUCCCGUUACCCGUAACAACCAAGAUAUUGAUAGUAACUACUAUCAUAACAUGAAACUAAAAAGUGAAAAAUAAAUAUAGUUUAAAAAAACUAAAAAAACACGCUUUU
Molecule: long non-coding RNA, 1832 nt
Organism: Daktulosphaira vitifoliae (grape phylloxera)
Lineage: Eukaryota; Metazoa; Arthropoda; Insecta; Hemiptera; Phylloxeridae
Exons: 3
Source: RefSeq, a predicted model, not a curated record